This 213-nucleotide ribosomal RNA is filed under the name Triticum aestivum (bread wheat). RNAcentral's name for it is "partial small subunit ribosomal RNA". The record is from RNAcentral. Lineage: Eukaryota; Viridiplantae; Streptophyta; Magnoliopsida; Poales; Poaceae.
AUGGGACAUAAUUAUUACGGGGAACCCGCAUGGCCCAAUGAUCUUUUAUAUUUUCCAGUAGUAAUUCUAGGUACUAUUGCAUGUAAUGUAGGUUUAGCGGUUCUCGAGCCAUCAAUGAUUGGUGAACCGGCAGAUCCGUUUGCAACUCCUCUGGAAAUAUUACCAGAAAAAAUAAAAAAUAAUUCUAUUAAUUUUCAUUUUCCAUUUAUUUAG